Molecule: small nuclear RNA, 22 nt
Filed under: Arabidopsis thaliana (thale cress)
Lineage: Eukaryota; Viridiplantae; Streptophyta; Magnoliopsida; Brassicales; Brassicaceae
Description: snRNA_13217
Source: RNAcentral
UAUUUCGAUUUUUGUGCUCUAU